GACGAACGCUGGCGGCGUGCUUAACACAUGCAAGUCGAACGGUAAGGCCCUUCGGGGUACCCGAGUGGCGUACGGGUGAGUAACACGUGAGUAAUGUGCCCUUGACUCUGGGAUAACAGCCGGAAACGGUUGCUAAUACCGUAUAUACACAUGUGCCUGCAUGGGUGUGUGUGGAAAGCUUUUGCGGUCUUGUAUCAACUCGCGGCCUAUCAGCUUGUUGGCGGGGUAAGGGCCUACCAAUGCCUCGACGGGUAGCCGGCCUGAGAGGGCGACCGGCCACACUGGGACUGAGAUACGGCCCAGACGCCUACGGGAGGCAAGGGUGGGGAAUAUUGCACAAAGGGCGGAGGCCGGAUGCAGCAACGCCGCGUGCGGAAUGACGGCCUUCGGGUUGGAAACCGCUUUCAGUAGGGACGGAGCGCAAGUGACGGUACCUACAGAAGAAGCACCGGCCAACUACGU
This 462-nucleotide ribosomal RNA is filed under the name uncultured bacterium. Its description in RNAcentral is "partial 16S ribosomal RNA". It matches the Rfam family "Bacterial small subunit ribosomal RNA", at positions 28 to 506 of the family's 1533-position model. The record is from RNAcentral.